This 254-nucleotide ribosomal RNA is filed under the name uncultured bacterium. RNAcentral describes it as "partial 16S ribosomal RNA". It matches the Rfam family "Bacterial small subunit ribosomal RNA", at positions 524 to 776 of the family's 1533-position model. The record is from RNAcentral.
UACGUAGGUGGCAAGCGUUGUCCGGAAUUAUUGGGCGUAAAGCGCGCGCAGGCGGCCUCUUAAGUCUGAUGUGAAAGCCCCCGGCUCAACCGGGGAGGGCCAUUGGAAACUGGGAGGCUUGAGUAUAGGAGAGAAGAGUGGAAUUCCACGUGUAGCGGUGAAAUGCGUAGAGAUGUGGAGGAACACCAGUGGCGAAGGCGACUCUUUGGCCUAUAACUGACUCUGAGGCGCGAAAGCGUUGGGGAGCAAACAGG